UAUAUAUUGUGGGUGGAGAGCUUUGAUUUGAUUUGAUUUAAUUAGUUUGUGGGCAUUGAAUGGUUGUUAGAAAAUGAUGGUAUAAAAUAUUGAGGAAGGAGCAAUUCACCAAACCGACCUGCAUCUUAAAAUCAUUCAAUCCACACAAUUAAGUCAACCAGGUACCCAGAAUAAAAUCAUUUUGUUCUGCUUUUUAAGCAUAUAUAUAACCAAGCCUUACUUUAGAUUGUGUUCUGAAACUCAAGUCCUUGAAGGUUGUAUUGUAUAUGAUACAAUGAUGGAGCUAUUGGUGUUAGGUUGCACAGGAAUCGUGGUAUUCCUUCAUGGAGUUCAUUUCUUUUUCCAUGCUGUUACCCAACACAUGGCUUUCCACUCUCUUUCUCUCAGCCUCAGUUUCUUGGGGUUCGUGGGGUGGUAGAGUCGUGUAGUGAGGACAAGAACAAAUCAUCAAUGCUUGGACGUGAAAGCAAACUUCACCCUCAUCACGACAAGGUCAGAGACUAUCAUUUAUUUUGUUAUGGCCACCCUCACGCUUUGUAAAUACUUAAGGUUUCACCUUAGGAAUCAAAUAAAGCUCUCAAUUCUUCUUCCAAAUGUUUAUUCUUGUAAUAAUUUAUUUGCUAUUGCAAGAACAAAAGUUUCGGUAUAUGCUUUCCCAACCAUAUGUUUAUUUAUCGGAAUGAAUUUCUCUUAACUUGCCAACCA
Long non-coding RNA from Cajanus cajan (pigeon pea), 705 nucleotides. RefSeq lists it as uncharacterized. Lineage: Eukaryota; Viridiplantae; Streptophyta; Magnoliopsida; Fabales; Fabaceae. The record is from RefSeq and is a predicted model, not a curated record.